UACGACUACAUAUCAGGCAUAUCAAUAAGCGGAGGAAAAGAAACUAACAAGGAUUCCCUAGUAACGGCGAGUGAAGCGGGAAGAGCUCAAAUUUGAAAUCUUAAAGGAUUGUACCUUGACGAAUUGUAGUUUAUAAGAAGUGUUUUCUGUUAGAGUUUCGGUAGCAAAAGUUCCUUGGAAUGGGACAUCAUAGAGGGUGAGAAUCCCGUAUUUGGUUAUUCAUUCUAGCUUUGUGAUACACUUUCAAAGAGUCGGAUUGUUUGGGAAUGCAGUCCAAGAUGGGUGGUAAAUUUCAUCUAAAGCUAAAUAUUGGCGAGAGACCGAUAGCGAACAAGUACCGUGAGGGAAAGAUGAAAAGAACUUUGAAAAGAGAGUUAAACAGUACGUGAAAUUGUCAAAAGGGAAGCGUUUGACACCAGUGUUGUUUUUCCGAAAAUCAAUUACGAAUGGCUUGAUUUUGUGUUGUAUUGACCUUAUCAGCUUUCUUCACUUUUUUCGAGUCUUUCUUAAUGCACUUUUCGGUUAACAAGUCAACAUCAAUUUCUUUUGUUGUAAAAGAGUAUUCGGAAGGUGGCUUUCUUUUCGGAGAAAGUGUUUAUAGCCCUAUACUUCUACAAUCGGAGAGAUUGAGGUCUGCAGCGUAGAUCCUUCGGGGUUAGAUACACUUGUGCUAAGUUGUAGCUUUUCAUAGACAACUUGUUGACUAUGUUUAGUCAUGCGGCUUACUCGCUUGUGCUAUUUUACCUACGCUUAGGAUGUUGAGUAGCGACAUACGCAC
Molecule: ribosomal RNA, 778 nt
Filed under: uncultured Neocallimastigales
Lineage: Eukaryota; Fungi; Neocallimastigomycota; Neocallimastigomycetes; Neocallimastigales
Description: partial large subunit ribosomal RNA
Rfam family: Eukaryotic large subunit ribosomal RNA
Source: RNAcentral